Dinoponera quadriceps is the source of this 2328-nucleotide long non-coding RNA. RefSeq lists it as uncharacterized. The transcript has 2 exons. The record is from RefSeq and is a predicted model, not a curated record. NCBI's taxonomy places the organism in Eukaryota, Metazoa, Arthropoda, Insecta, Hymenoptera, Formicidae.
AAAAUGUAAAUAGUGUGAACAUAAAACGAAAAUAUAAUAAAUCAAGGCAGAAUGUCGAUACGUUCCCUGAUCACGAAAUUCCGUAAUGAUAUUUGCUAUAAAAUCUUUCCCGUAUAUUAUCUUAAAAUAAGCGUCGUCCGCUAAUUUCCGUCUUGACAUCAUAACAAAGGAGAUAAAAGCAGUUCGUCACUAAUGCAAAUCAGAGGAUUCUCUGUCCUUGCCUCGAAAAAAAAUGAGAAAAAGAGGCAUAUAUUUUCUUCAAGUUGUCCUUCUCUCGAUGAUGGUUGACCAGUUGGGUCAGAUAAUACGUUACAUCACUGUCUCUCACGGGAUACGUGCGAAUUAUUGCAUCGUCCUCUUUCCUCGUCUUUUUUUCUUUCUUUCGCGCAGGCGCCUACGUAAGCGACGACGGCGAGCUAAAAAUACGGAAGUAACGCAGCGGGAUUACGUCGCCGAAAAUAUUGGGUACUCGUCUCAUUCGCGUGCAUCAGUGUGUGUGCAUCGAUAUAGCGCAAUUGGCAUCGAUACCUACUAGACAGCCGCCCCGUCCGCUCGCGGAAAGACCGUAACGCAACAUAACGAACGAUAUUACGGAACAUAAUUAGCAAUCCUUCGUAACUGUCUACAAGAGGCCCGAGAGGGGCCGAAGAGCGCGUUUACCGGUAGCACGUGCGCUCGUUAAAAUUUCGCCGAACAGCAAUCUGUACGCUCUAUCUACGGCGGGAAUAAUAAUUUUUCCUAACGCGACGUUCGCUCACGAUAUCGUUUAAUCGCCCAACAAUCGGUUACUCUCCGUUCGCUCGUGAAUAAUAAAAUGAAUCGGCGUUCUCUCUCUCUCUCUCUCUCUUUCUCGCUCUCCCUUCUCGUCGCCAAGCCACGGACGAUUGUGACACAAAGAGUGCUGAGAUUGCUCGCGCUUUUCGCGCAAACACACAGGAGGCGAACGAAACGAUGCGUUGCACGUAAAACAAAGCUGCCGGGUGGACGCAGCCAGUGACUCAGUUGGUCGAUGAUAAACCGCAACGCCAGUGCUCUUAUUCCCGUUGGCGGACAAUGAGACAGCAAUAAGUGAUUCAUGCCUCCGUUUUCCGUGCUUGUCGCCGGCUGUAUCACUAGAGUAUAUCACCGUGCAUUCGCAUCGUUUGCGCGGCGCCGUUCAUUGUUCGAAAUUUGAGUUAAGGCCCCGCAGGGUGUAUCGCGCGAAAACGGAGAUAUAUCUGCGUUUAUUUUUAGAUAUCUUCAAUGUCUCCCGCGUAUCUUUAGAAUUUCCAUCGUGCACGCGUGCAUAAGGCCGAACGAGACGAGAUCGAGCGGCUCUGGAUACUGCAUGGGCGCUGAAUUCUAAAUGGGCAUCGUUUCUGCAUGCCGACUGCAUGACUUUGGGCCAGUGCAGUCAUGUUUCCAGCUGUGCAUUUCUUUCCUGCUCCUGAAAAAACCGGAUAAUUCUGAAUGGCCCAUUAUAUCGUUCUCAGCGGGGCAACUAUUGAUGGAAACAUGAUUUUAGACCCAACCUUGAAAGUGCUCGAUUUCUGAUUCUUGAAUGGUCGCACUAUUAUCGGCGGUCAACAAGUCGGCUGGAUAUUCUUUGUGUCCAGCUCCUUUGCAAACUACAAAUAUGAGAAAAAACCCGGUCGAUCAAACACCUACACAGUUAAUACAUUUCAUAUGUUCCAAACGGCCCACAUAAAGUUUUGGGUUAACACAAUGAAUGCGUUGAAAAGUAACACAAAUAUUACAUAAGAAGUUAAUACAAAAUUAAUAUCCAUGAUAUGUUGAUCGACACAUCGAAGUAUAAAAUAUGUUAUUUUAACGUUGAUAUGUUUCUCUUAUUUUUGUUCUGGAACGUAAUGGCACAGUUUAGUCGUUUAAUUCGGAAAUACCUGGUAUGUAAGCAGAAUGCGAGAGAGAGAGAGAGAGAGAGAGAGGGAAAGAGAGGGCACGCGCGCUCUCAGAUAAAAUUAAAACGUUCGAAAUAGUCGGACUAUAAAUAAGAAUCGGCUCGCGAUUUAUCCGGAAAGUUUAAGAACAUUUCUUAGUGUAUAUAGUACGUAGCCAUUCCGAAAUUAGAUGCUACGUAAGAUAACGUAACAUAUAUAUAUAUUAUGGGUUGUCCCGUACCAGUAAAUAUAAGGACCAGUCCUAUAUGCGUAAUCUUAAAUUUAGGUCGAAUUGCCUGCAGAGCUUGGCGCGACUCCGACAACUUUGUCGCCGAGUCUGGAUGAUUGCACGUAAUUAUUUCUUUCUUUAAAAGUCAGAAUACAACUAUACAAACAAUGAUAUAAAAAUGUAAAAUAAAUAAAUGGAAGCAAAUUGACAGUAACGUUGUUA